GACGAACGCUGGCGGCGUGCUUAACACAUGCAAGUCGAACGGAAAGGCCCUGCUUUUGUGGGGUGCUCGAGUGGCGAACGGGUGAGUAACACGUGAGUAACCUGCCCUUGACUUUGGGAUAACUUCAGGAAACUGGGGCUAAUACCGGAUAGGAGCUCCUGCUGCAUGGUGGGGGUUGGAAAGUUUCGGCGGUUGGGGAUGGACUCGCGGCUUAUCAGCUUGUUGGUGGGGUAGUGGCUUACCAAGGCUUUGACGGGUAGCCGGACUGAGAGGGUGACCGGCCACAUUGGGACUGAGAUACGGCCCAGACUCCUACGGGAGGCAGCAGUGGGGAAUAUUGCACAAUGGGCGGAAGCCUGAUGCAGCAACGCCGCGUGCGGGAUGACGGCCUUCGGGCUGUAAACCGCUUUCGCCUGUGACGAAGCGUGAGUGACGGUAAUGGGUAAAGAAGCACCGGCUAACUACGUG
Molecule: ribosomal RNA, 468 nt
Filed under: uncultured bacterium
Lineage: Bacteria
Description: partial 16S ribosomal RNA
Rfam family: Bacterial small subunit ribosomal RNA
Source: RNAcentral